This is a long non-coding RNA of Carcharodon carcharias (great white shark), 746 nucleotides long. RefSeq lists it as uncharacterized. Lineage: Eukaryota; Metazoa; Chordata; Chondrichthyes; Lamniformes; Lamnidae. The record is from RefSeq and is a predicted model, not a curated record. The transcript is spliced from 3 exons.
UGAAGCAUGCGCAGUGUGAGUAAUGGCGAUGGAGCGAUGCUUUGUUCUCAGAUCCGGAAUCGGAUAAUAGAAGAGAAGAGAUGGGAAACCCAAACCAAACAUCACUUAAAAAUCUGACAGAAUCACUCAAUUCAUCAGGACCUGGAUAGUAUCGGCCUCUGAAUGGUAUUAAAAGGGGAAGAUUUGCAGUUGGAAAACUGAAACCAAAUGCCACAUCAGGAUCUGAUGGAGUUGCCCAAUUUAUCAUAACCUGAAUAUCACUGGAUUUUGAACAUGGAAGGAAAAAGCACCAUUCACAGCAGGGAGAAACUGUAUGCCUGUUUCAUGUGCAAACGAGGCUUCAGCCGAUCAUCUGGCCUGUCAACACAUAAAGGCAAAUGCAAUGGGUAGAAACCAUGGAAAUGUGAGGACUGUGGGAAGGGAUGCAAAUCCCCAUUGGAGCUGGAAAUUCAUCUACGCAGUCAUACAGGGGAGAGGCCAUUUAACUGCUCUGAGCGUGGGAAGUGAUUCUCUCGUUCAUCUGACUUGCUGACACACUAGCUAGUUCACACUGAUGAGACCUUUCAAAUGCUCAGACUGUGAGUCAUGCUAUAAAAGUUACAAGCAACUGAUGUCCCAUCAGCGUGUUCACACUGAGAAGAGACCGUUCAGGUGCUCUCACUGUGGGAUUGGGUUCAAGGCAUCAUCUGACCUCACUAAACAUCAGCGCACUCACACUGGGGAGAAGCCGUUCAUCUGCUCAAAGU